This 22-nucleotide microRNA is filed under the name Bombyx mori (domestic silkworm). Its description in RNAcentral is "bmo-miR-2807b". Lineage: Eukaryota; Metazoa; Arthropoda; Insecta; Lepidoptera; Bombycidae. The record is from miRBase by way of RNAcentral.
CAACUGUUUCAACUCCAUACAA